RNAcentral lists this unclassified non-coding RNA (253 nucleotides) under uncultured Nitriliruptoraceae bacterium. Its description in RNAcentral is "contains 16S-23S intergenic spacer region". It matches the Rfam family "Bacterial small subunit ribosomal RNA", at positions 524 to 776 of the family's 1533-position model. Lineage: Bacteria; Bacillati; Actinomycetota; Nitriliruptoria; Nitriliruptorales; Nitriliruptoraceae. The record is from RNAcentral.
UACGUAGGGGGCGAGCGUUGUCCGGAAUCAUUGGGCGUAAAGCGCAUGUAGGCGGCCACGUAAGUCGAAUGUGAAAUCCCGAGGCUCAACUUCGGAAAUGCAUCCGAUACUGCGUGGCUUGAGGAAGGUAGAGGAGAGUGGAAUUCCCGGUGUAGCGGUGGAAUGCGCAGAUAUCGGGAGGAACACCAGCGGCGAAGGCGGCUCUCUGGGCCUUUCCUGACGCUGAGAUGCGAAAGUGUGGGUAGCGAACAGG